CCAUUGGCUUAGUUAGUAUCACGAAGGAUGUUUCCUUUUGCUUGUGUCUAAUUGACUGCUACUGUGUGAUCUGUUUGUGUUAGAUGUGUUAUAUGUAUAUUGCCUACUUUCAUCACUUGCACCUGCAUACUUUGGUUUUAAUACCGUAUUCGUGGUCCAACCCUAGACUGGUUAAGCCAUAUGAAAGGCACCUGUAGUGGACGUGGUCGUGGUCGCGGAAUUAGACAACCCACGACUGAAGGGGAUACUAGGGGAACUACGUCUGAACCAAACCC
RNAcentral lists this long non-coding RNA (275 nucleotides) under Coffea arabica (coffee). RNAcentral describes it as "long non-coding RNA (CARA_LNC008027)". Lineage: Eukaryota; Viridiplantae; Streptophyta; Magnoliopsida; Gentianales; Rubiaceae. The record is from RNAcentral.